This 411-nucleotide ribosomal RNA is filed under the name Halomonas sp. E-4G. RNAcentral's name for it is "bacterial SSU rRNA". It matches the Rfam family "Bacterial small subunit ribosomal RNA", at positions 508 to 917 of the family's 1533-position model. Lineage: Bacteria; Pseudomonadati; Pseudomonadota; Gammaproteobacteria; Oceanospirillales; Halomonadaceae. The record is from RNAcentral.
UCAGCAGCCGCGGUAAUACGGAGGGUGCGAGCGUUAAUCGGAAUUACUGGGCGUAAAGCGCGCGUAGGCGGCUUGAUAAGCCGGUUGUGAAAGCCCCGGGCUCAACCUGGGAACGGCAUCCGGAACUGUCAGGCUAGAGUGCAGGAGAGGAAGGUAGAAUUCCCGGUGUAGCGGUGAAAUGCGUAGAGAUCGGGAGGAAUACCAGUGGCGAAGGCGGCCUUCUGGACUGACACUGACGCUGAGGUGCGAAAGCGUGGGUAGCAAACAGGAUUAGAUACCCUGGUAGUCCACGCCGUAAACGAUGUCGACUAGCCGUUGGGGUCCUCGAGACCUUUGUGGCGCAGUUAACGCGAUAAGUCGACCGCCUGGGGAGUACGGCCGCAAGGUUAAAACUCAAAGGAAAUUGACGGA